GACGAACGCUGGCGGCGUGCCUAAUACAUGCAAGUCGAACGAGAGCGACCGGUGCUUGCACUGGUCAAUCUAGUGGCGAACGGGUGAGUAACACGUGGGUAACCUGCUCAUCAGAGGGGGAUAACAUCCGGAAACGGAUGCUAAAACCGCAUAGGUCUUCGAGCCGCAUGGCUUGAAGAGGAAAAGAGGCGCAAGCUUCUGCUGAUGGAUGGACCCGCGGUGCAUUAGCUAGUUGGUGAGGUAAAGGCUCACCAAGGCCGUGAUGCAUAGCCGACCUGAGAGGGUGAUCGGCCACAUUGGGACUGAGACACGGCCCAAACUCCUACGGGAGGCAGCAGUAGGGAAUCUUCCGCAAUGGACGCAAGUCUGACGGAGCAACGCCGCGUGAGUGAAGAAGGUUUUCGGAUCGUAAAACUCUGUUGUUAGAGAAGAACAAGUGCUAGAGUAACUGUUAGCGCCUUGACGGUAUCUAACCAGAAAGCCACGGCUAACUACGUG
Molecule: ribosomal RNA, 498 nt
Filed under: uncultured bacterium
Lineage: Bacteria
Description: partial 16S ribosomal RNA
Rfam family: Bacterial small subunit ribosomal RNA
Source: RNAcentral